AUACCGGCUGCUCGAGUGAUGGCCACUAUUACUGGGUUUAAAGCGUCCGUAGCUUGACUGUUAGGUCUCUUGGGAAAUCUUCACGCUCAACGUGAAGGCGUCUAAGAGAUACCGGCAGUCUUGGAACUGGGAGAGGUGAACCGUACUUCGGGGGUAGGAGUGAAAUCUUGUAAUCCUCGAGGGACGACCUAUGGCGAAGGCAGUUUACCAGAACAGCUUCGACAGUGAGGGACGAAAGCUGGGGGAGCAAACGGGAUUAGAUACCCCGGUAGUCCCAGCCGUAAACAAUGUGCGUUAGGUGUGUCGGUAACCACGUGUUACUGAUGCGCCGAAGAGAAAUCGUGAAACGCACCACCUGGGAAGUACGGUCGCAAGGCUGAAACUUAAAUGAAUUGGCGGGG
This 401-nucleotide ribosomal RNA is filed under the name uncultured bacterium. RNAcentral describes it as "partial 16S ribosomal RNA". It matches the Rfam family "Archaeal small subunit ribosomal RNA", at positions 473 to 873 of the family's 1478-position model. The record is from RNAcentral.